RNAcentral lists this ribosomal RNA (468 nucleotides) under uncultured bacterium. RNAcentral's name for it is "partial 16S ribosomal RNA". It matches the Rfam family "Bacterial small subunit ribosomal RNA", at positions 28 to 507 of the family's 1533-position model. The record is from RNAcentral.
GACGAACGCUGGCGGCGUGCUUAACACAUGCAAGUCGAACGGAAAGGCCCUGCUUUUGUGGGGUGCUCGAGUGGCGAACGGGUGAGUAACACGUGAGUAACCUGCCCUUGACUUUGGGAUAACUUCAGGAAACUGGGGCUAAUACCGGAUAGGAGCUCCUGCUGCAUGGUGGGGGUUGGAAAGUUUCGGCGGUUGGGGAUGGACUCGCGGCUUAUCAGCUUGUUGGUGGGGUAGUGGCUUACCAAGGCUUUGACGGGUAGCCGGCCUGAGAGGGUGACCGGCCACAUUGGGACUGAGAUACGGCCCAGACUCCUACGGGAGGCAGCAGUGGGGAAUAUUGCACAAUGGGCGGAAGCCUGGUGCAGCAACGCCGCGUGCGGGAUGACGGCCUUCGGGUUGUAAACCGCUUUCGCCUGUGACGAAGCGUGAGUGACGGUAAUGGGUAAAGAAGCGCCGGCUAACUACGUG